Molecule: microRNA precursor, 183 nt
Filed under: Oryza sativa Japonica Group (Japanese rice)
Lineage: Eukaryota; Viridiplantae; Streptophyta; Magnoliopsida; Poales; Poaceae
Description: MIR812 microRNA precursor family
Rfam family: MIR812 microRNA precursor family
Source: Rfam by way of RNAcentral
AAUAAGUGCAGCCGUGGAUAUUCGUACCCAACGUUUGACCGUCCGUCUUAUUUAAAAAAUUUGUGAAAAAUUUAAAAAUAUUUAAUCACACAUAAAGUACUAUUCAUGUUUUAUCAUCUAAUAAAUUUUAAAUAAGAUAAACGGUCAAACGUUGAACGUGAAUAGUGCAAAACUGUAUUUAUU